UAAACUAGGAUUAGAUACCCUAUUAUUGAAAAUGUAAAUAUAAAAUGUUAGAGUAUUAGUAGUUAUUUUCUUGAAAUUUAAAGGAUUUGGCGGUAUUCUAGUCUUUUCAGAGGAACCUGUCCUGUAAUUGAUAUUCCACGAUUAAUUUAACUUGUUUUAUUAGUUUGUAUAUCAUCGUAAGUUGAAUGUUUUAUUAGGAUUUUGAAUGUUCAAGAUAUAAUAUAAUAGAGAAAAUCAGAUCAAGGUGCAGCUUAUAAUCAAGUAGAGAUGGGUUACAAUAAAUUUAUUUGAUUGGUUAUAAUAAUUAACAUUAUUGUAUAAAUUGGAUUUGAAUGUAAUAUAAUUUAGUUAAAUUAUAUGAUUAUAGCUCUAGAAUAUGUACAUAUCGCCCGUCGCUCCCGUUUUAAGGCGGGAUAAGUCGUAACAAAGUAGGCGUACUGGAAAGUGUGCCUAGAUAGACGAAUUAGAGCUUGUUAUAAAGUAUUUUAUUUACAUUAAAAUGUUAGUUGUGUGAAUCAAUUUAAUUUGAUAAGUAUUAGUUUAUUUUUUUUUAUUAUAAUAAAGUAUUAUUUUUAUUUAGUAUGAUUUUUAGAAACAAUUUUUUUAAUUAUAGUUUACUUGUAUAGAGAUAGAUUAAUGAUAUAAUAUAUUCUUUUUUGAGAAGAAUAAUUAGAUUUUUGUACCUUGUGUAUCAGGGUUUAUUAAAAAUAUUUUAUAUAUUUGAUUUUCUCGAAUUUUUAAGAGCUAAUAAUAUAUAUAUAUAAUUGUAAAAUAAAUUUUUAUAAUAUAUUAUUAGAAGUGAAAUGCUAGUCGUUUGGAAAGAUAUCUAGUUUUUUAAGAAAUAAAUUUAAUUUAUUUAUUUAAAUAUAUUACUUUAAUUUAUUAGGGUUUUGUUUUGAGUAUUAAAUAUUUUAAGGGAUAAGCUUUAGAAUAUAGUAUUAAAAAUUAUUAUAGUAUUAAAAAUAAUAGGAUUAGAAAUUUUUAUUUUUUAGGCUGUUAUAAGGAAUUUUUUUUUUAAUAUUAUUUUUAUUAGUUUUAGGUUUUAUAUUAAAAUUAUUUAUUUAAUAUUAUUAUAUAUGUAAUUAUGAUAAAAUUAGUAUAGUAGAUUUUUGUAAUUUUAAUUUUAUUAUGAAGGUUAAGUUAAGGAAUUCGGCAAAUAUAUUUUUCGCCUGUUUAUUAAAAACAUGUCUUUUUGAUAUAAUUUAAAGUCUGACCUGCCCACUGAGGAGUUAAAUGGCCGCAGUAUUUUGACUGUGCAAAGGUAGCAUAAUAAUUAGUUUUUUAAUUGAAAGCUGGAAUGAAUGGUUGGACGAGAAAAUUACUGUCUUGGUUUAAUUUUAUUAGAAUUUUAUUUUUAAGUUAAAAAGCUUAAAUAUUUUUAAAAGACGAGAAGACCCUAUAGAGUUUUAUAUUUAUUUUUAUUAUUAUUAUUAAGUAUGGUUUUCUGGUAAUAAUUAUGAUUAUUUUGUUGGGGUGACAGAGAAAUUGAGUUAACUUUUUUUUAUUGAGUUCAUAUAUAAAUGUUUUUAUGAUCCAUAUUUUAUGAUUAAAAGAUUAAAUUACCUUAGGGAUAACAGCGUUAUUAUUUUUAAGAGUUCUUAUCGAAAAAAUAGUUUGCGACCUCGAUGUUGGAUUAAAGUUAAUUUUGGUGUAGGAGCUAAAAUGUUUAGGUCUGUUCGACCUUUAAAACUUUACAUGAUCUGAGUUCAAACCGGAGA
RNAcentral lists this ribosomal RNA (1718 nucleotides) under Heteronyx sp. NLG-2014. RNAcentral describes it as "partial 16S ribosomal RNA". The record is from RNAcentral. Lineage: Eukaryota; Metazoa; Arthropoda; Insecta; Coleoptera; Scarabaeidae.